CAUUAGUGGCGGACGGGUGAGUAACACGCAAAUAAACUACCAUUCAGACGGGGACAACCUUGGGAAACCUGGGCUAAUACCCGAUACGAUCCUUUAGUGGCAUCACUUUAGGAUGAAACAGCUUGCUGGCUGAAUGAUGUAUUUGCGGCUGAUUAGUUUGUUGGUAGGGUAAUGGCCUACCAAGACUACGAUCAGUAGCUGGUCUGAGAGGAUGAACAGCCACACUGGAACUGAGACACGGUCCAGACUCC
This 251-nucleotide ribosomal RNA is filed under the name uncultured bacterium. RNAcentral's name for it is "partial 16S ribosomal RNA". It matches the Rfam family "Bacterial small subunit ribosomal RNA", at positions 90 to 339 of the family's 1533-position model. The record is from RNAcentral.